GCAGUCAGUCCGCAACGCCCGCGAUAAUUAGGCAGAAUGCCCAAAUUUACACAGCACCCGGAAGUGCGAUAAACCGUCGUAUUUCGUGUCCCGCGAUUUGCGAGAUUUCGUGAGACUUUUGCACAGGUCAACAAACUUUAUCACAGCUGCUAUGGCUUUUACUGUGCUGCGUAGCAUGUAGGGGACCGAAGAAUACAAGAACAGCUUCUAUCCUCGUAAUGGAAUCAACUACGAGCCGGCAGCCACCAUCAUCAAAGUCAACAUCAGCCAAGUCUUUCCAUACCAAAGUUUGGAGCUACAUGCAGAAUGACCACUCAGCGCAGCUGUACACAGGCGGGCUAGAGCGUCGAUGUGGCUCUACUUCAUCUAAAAAUUAGAUGAUGUCUGCAACCAACUGUAUUUUUAUGAGCACCUUUUUAUUUUUAUUUUUGAACUCUGCACCCUCAGUUGUGAUGUUUGUUGACAGUUUGCGAUGCCACGGAAGUCUGGACGUAUAUAACAAUUGGUCCUGUCCAGAACCACCUUAGAUGUAGAUGUUGUUGUUUUUCUGACGGAUGCACUCAACCAUCGAACUUGCGGAACAUUGACAACAAAUUAGCUAAGACACAGACUUCACACAUCAGUCUCCAUUGCAUUCCUGAAUCAGCGUUUGCUAGACUUCACAUACAUGUAGGAACAAACAAUCUUGAAAGCGGAGUUUGGGAGAAGGACAAGAAGGAUUUUGUUCAGCUUAUUCUUUCAGUAAAAGAAAAAUCCAUUUCAAGUGAUUACAUUUUUGUAUCUCUGAUAGUGAUACUUCGAAGGUGGGAUUCCUGAGCUUUACAUGAACAAAGCAUUUAUUAUAAUAAAAAACUGAUUGAACUGUCA
Long non-coding RNA from Strongylocentrotus purpuratus (purple sea urchin), 867 nucleotides. RefSeq lists it as uncharacterized. NCBI's taxonomy places the organism in Eukaryota, Metazoa, Echinodermata, Echinoidea, Camarodonta, Strongylocentrotidae. The transcript has 2 exons. The record is from RefSeq and is a predicted model, not a curated record.